This 253-nucleotide ribosomal RNA is filed under the name uncultured bacterium. RNAcentral's name for it is "partial 16S ribosomal RNA". It matches the Rfam family "Bacterial small subunit ribosomal RNA", at positions 524 to 776 of the family's 1533-position model. The record is from RNAcentral.
UACGUAGGGUGCGAGCGUUAAUCGGAAUUACUGGGCGUAAAGCGUGCGCAGGCGGUUUUGUAAGACAGAUGUGAAAUCCCCGGGCUUAACCUGGGAACUGCAUUUGUGACUGCAAGACUAGAGUGCGGCAGAGGGGGGUAGAAUUCCACGUGUAGCAGUGAAAUGCGUAGAGAUGUGGAGGAAUACCGAUGGCGAAGGCAGCCCCCUGGGUCGACACUGACGCUCAUGCACGAAAGCGUGGGGAGCAAACAGG